RNAcentral lists this ribosomal RNA (509 nucleotides) under uncultured bacterium. Its description in RNAcentral is "bacterial SSU rRNA". It matches the Rfam family "Bacterial small subunit ribosomal RNA", at positions 791 to 1300 of the family's 1533-position model. The record is from RNAcentral.
UAGUCCACGCCGUAAACGAUGUGUGCUAGAUGUCGGGUCCAUAGGAUUCGGUGUCGCAGCUAACGCACUAAGCACACCGCCUGGGGAGUACGGUCGCAAGAUUAAAACUCAAAGGAAUUGACGGGGACCCGCACAAGCGGUGGAGCAUGUUCUUUAAUUCGACGCAACGCGAAGAACCUUACCUACACUUGACAUACUCGUCGGGGAUUUCAGAGAUGAUUUCCUUCAGCUUGGCUGGACCAUGUACAGGUGCUGCACGGCUGUCGUCAGCUCGUGUCGUGAGAUGUUGGGUUAAGUCCCGCAACGAGCGCAACCCUCAUCCUUAGUUGCUAACAUUUAGUUGAGAACUCUAAGGAAACUGCCGGUGAUAAACCGGAGGAAGGUGGGGAUGACGUCAAGUCUUCAUGGCCCUUAUGGGCUGGGCUACACACGUGCUACAAUGGCGAUGACAAAGGGCAGCGACUCCGCGAGGGGAAGCUAAUCUCAAAAAGUCGUCUCAGUUCGGGUUG